RNAcentral lists this ribosomal RNA (498 nucleotides) under uncultured bacterium. RNAcentral describes it as "partial 16S ribosomal RNA". It matches the Rfam family "Bacterial small subunit ribosomal RNA", at positions 30 to 523 of the family's 1533-position model. The record is from RNAcentral.
AUUGAACGCUGGCGGCAUGCCUUACACAUGCAAGUCGAACGGUAACAGGUCUUCGGAUGCUGACGAGUGGCGAACGGGUGAGUAAUACAUCGGAACGUGCCUAGUAGUGGGGGAUAACUACUCGAAAGAGUGGCUAAUACCGCAUGAGAUCUACGGAUGAAAGCAGGAGAUCGCAAGACCUUGUGCUACUAGAGCGGCCGAUGGCAGAUUAGGUAGUUGGUGGGAUAAAAGCUUACCAAGCCGACGAUCUGUAGCUGGUCUGAGAGGACGAUCAGCCACACUGGGACUGAGACACGGCCCAGACUCCUACGGGAGGCAGCAGUGGGGAAUUUUGGACAAUGGGCGAAAGCCUGAUCCAGCAAUGCCGCGUGCAGGAUGAAGGCCUUCGGGUUGUAAACUGCUUUUGUACGGAACGAAAAGCCCUGGGUUAAUACCCUGGGGUCAUGACGGUACCGUAAGAAUAAGUACCGGCUAACUACGUGCCAGCCGCCGCGGUAA